GACGAACGCUGGCGGUGUGCUUAACACAUGCAAGUCGAACGGUAAGGCCCUUUCGGGGGUACACGAGUGGCGAACGGGUGAGUAACACGUGAGUAACCUGCCCUCAUCUCUGGGAUAACAGUCGGAAACGGUUGCUAAUACUGGAUAUGAGCUUGCAAGGCAUCUUGUGGGUUGGAAAGAUAUUUUUUGGUUGGGGAUGGACUCGCGGCCUAUCAGCUUGUUGGUGAGGUAGUGGCUCACCAAGGCUUCGACGGGUAGCCGGCCUGAGAGGGCGACCGGCCACAUUGGGACUGAGAUACGGCCCAAACUCCUACGGGAGGCAGCAGUGGGGAAUAUUGCACAAUGGACGGAAGUCUGAUGCAGCAACGCCGCGUGCGGGAUGACGGCCUUCGGGUUGUAAACCGCUUUCAAUUGUGACGAAGCUUUUUUGUGACGUAG
This 438-nucleotide ribosomal RNA is filed under the name Arachnia propionica. RNAcentral describes it as "bacterial SSU rRNA". It matches the Rfam family "Bacterial small subunit ribosomal RNA", at positions 28 to 466 of the family's 1533-position model. Lineage: Bacteria; Bacillati; Actinomycetota; Actinomycetes; Propionibacteriales; Propionibacteriaceae. The record is from RNAcentral.